This is a non-coding RNA of Megalops atlanticus (tarpon), 72 nucleotides long. The record is from the annotation of a GenBank genome assembly. NCBI's taxonomy places the organism in Eukaryota, Metazoa, Chordata, Actinopteri, Elopiformes, Megalopidae.
GGCGGUGUGGUAUAGUGGUAGUGAGUAGGGCUCAUAACCGAAAGGUUGGUGGUUUGAUUCCCUGCUAAGGCA